CGGCGAUGGGUGGCCUGCCGGCGGGUCCCACCGGCGCCUUUAGCGCCGUGUUUGUUCGCGGGGGGCUGGGGGGGAAAGGCCGCCGUCGGCACGGCUGACAUUUGCCAUGCGCGAACAACAUGCACUUCAGCAAACAACUCAACCUUUCCGCAUCCCGGCAGCCUGCCGGACUUGCUGGCUUAUUUUUCUCCUCUUUCUUCGCUUGUUUAUAACUGACGCUAUCUCGCCUGCACCGCUCCCUCAAUUUCAUUAUCUCUUCCUCCCCAGGCGGCCCGUAUCUCUCCUUCCUUCGGCAGAGUUUCUCUCUGCGCUUGCUUCAGCUCCUUCCCCUCCUCUUCCCAGCUCCCCAUCCCUCACCCUUGCUCACAGGUGAGCCUUUCCCAGCUGGCUGCCUGCAAAGCACUCGACUCCAGCGGACCUUCCUUCAGCGGCGCUUCUUACCCAGCAGUGAGCCCCUUAUCCUCUGAAGACGGGGCCAUUCAGAUGAUGAAUCUAUUUAAUCUGCAGGAUUAAAUAAAUACGACAACUUCCAAGGUUUCAAAGAUAUUGUAGAAGUUUGGUGGAAAAAAGGAAAAAAGUUUUUUACCUCAAUGGCAAAGAAUUUAAGCUUUUGUUCACUGGUUCGAAGGACAGUGAAGUGGGACCGAAGAAGGCAUCUGACUUGUGAAAAUCCUCCUUUGAAGAGCACCAAGAUUACCUUUGAUAUCUUUUCCAUAUGAAGCCACGGAUGCUGGGUAAGUGGUGCAUUCUUCUCACUUCCUUGGGGUAGCCAGGUUGGUUUUGUGUUCUGUAUUUUCACCCUUCCGAAGUUGCAGCUGAAAUUAUUCAUAUUACUGACACGAUUUCAUAUCCCAGAUGAGAUGCACAGAUAAAAUAAGCGAGUAAGCAGUAGAAGAUCUUUUUAUGUGACUGGGACCUCAAGAGGGAGGAUAAAACCUGGCCCAGCUGAGUGGGAAUCACUGGCUCCCAUAGGACUAGGAUUUUUCUUGCAGGCUUUAUGGUUGUCUCAUUCGAGUGGUCUUCUACACUGAAAGCAAUGCAGACUAUACCACUUACUUGGCAAAAUGUGUGCCACCAGGAGGUGGUUUCACUCAAACAUACAUUUCUGUAAGAUGAAGACAAACUUAAAAUUUAUUGCUUAUUCCAUUCAUAACCAAAAGUUCUCCUGGCUUGCCAAGCUGCUGAAUCAGCUCGGGUACCUCACCCUUGAGUCAGCAAAGCCUGAAAUAGAAACUUGCUCUGUUUCCGAAGAAAGGAAGUACCGCUGUUGUCUGCAAAUACAGCCACAUCUAACGUGCUUUCAUAACUACGAACACUUGGUGGAGAAACUUGCAUGACACUCUGCUUUUUAAUUAAAAAAAAAAAAAAAAAAAGUGGGGGUGAAAAAAGGCUGUUAAGCUUGCUAUGAAUGGGGCUGUCUGGGCAUGGAAGAACCAAGGAAUAAACAGCACAGCAAGAGAAGGGCUUUACCAGUGGCAGUCACUGAUGUCACCUAGACUAGCCCAGCAUCAAGUUCCCACUCCAUCUACUUGCAGCUUCUCAGGACAUUCAAAUUAGGGAGACAAGGCUAUUAGGCUACAACCAGGCUAAAGCAAAGUCUUAAGCCAUUAAGAACUGAUGGCAAGAAGACAGGAUAGAAGCUAUAAAACACUGACUGGAGAUCAGCUACAGCGGUGCUCAUCCAGGAUUCCCAAAGUAGAGUUGAAUCACUCUCGCUGCCAUGCUGCGACUCCACUUUAUAGCCCAGCAUAAAAUAGCAAAAAACAGUGAAAAUGACCAACAGUUGCAGUCAAAUAGUGGGAAGUGACACUGUAAAGUCAUCAGCAGGACUUUUGUGAGUAGGUGGAAGGCAGUGAAAAGGCAUGUAAAAAUAGUCCCUAUGUGAUAUAAAUUAGGGAGGAGUUUCUGUGGUUCCAAGUCAGGCCAAGAAGGAGAAAAAUAAUCAUAGUGUUAACUUGCCCGUUCUCCCCUUCUCAAGUUGUUCAGUUUUUUAUCUUGCAGAUGUAGCAUCAGUAAUUUUUAGCAUUGUACAAAAGGACGCCCAUUAAAAAUAAAGUUUCAGGGGGCUGCCAAGCAGAUGCUUGUUGUGUGCCACCUUCCCAUGAGUGGUCCUUCAUGUGUGGUGCAGGACAGUCUCAUGUUCUUCCUGCUCCAAGCAAAUGACUGCUGCUGGCGCUUCGAUGAGAAGUCUUCUGAACUGGCUUUACCUUCCAUAAAGAGCAGGCCAUUCUGACGGGCAAAACCAGUAACGCCUUUCAAACCCUGAGCAGAUGAGAUGUGCAGCUAUUACUGGCCUGGGAGGAAAAAAACCCUUUGCCUUAGAGAAAGUCCAGAUGUAUUUUACAUCCUCUGGAAACUUUUCCUCCAUCUCCUCUGAAGGAAGGGCUGGAUGCCCACAUGCUGUUCUUCUGUGCUGCAACGUGACCUGCUCCCCUCUAGCUGUGAAGAUCUUGUACAUGCUCCUUUACCUGUGUAACAUCAUACUUACAUGAUCUUGCAAAAUAAGGUUUUGAAGCCAACAGUAUAGAGAAACAGAAAAUUUUUCUAUUCUCACAGCUCAGUUAUUUAGACAUCCUGUCUUCAUAGCACAGUUUCUGUGGGAAGAUCCUGAUGGAUAGGGGAGUUCUCUUUUAUGGGAGCAGCAAAAGAACCCUCAGAAUGAAAUUAUUCUAAACUAGUCUAACUAUUCAGAGCUAAACUAGCCUAAUCUAUUCGUAUAACCUUGCAGGCAAGUUUCCUCCUAGGGUGACACUUCAUACGGGAUUUUCCUGCAGUACUAUGGAGGAAACGAUAGAGUUGGAAAAAUUGUCAUUUCUGCAAUGGGUAUGAAUGUUGCAACACACAAUUUUACCAUUUUCUGAUUUUUGCAACACUGCAGUUGCAAAUUGCAACACAUUUUAUAUUUAGUGUUUUGGAUUAUUCAACCAAAAAGAGGUGGGGAUGAGACUUUACCAGCACAAUUACAGGCUUAUGCAAUCAUCUGGUGCACAUGCUGCAGGUUUGGAAGAAAGACCUGCUGCAAAUCCACAGAAAACCCUAGCUGGGGGACUGUAAGUGCUGCAGGGAAUUACACGAUGUGAAACUUAGUGAAACAUUUGCUAUGUGUGCACCAAGCGCUUUUUAAAUUUGGGUUUCUGGGGAGAAGAGAAUUGCUGUGGCAUUUCUGUGACUUGAUCCCUUGUCUCUCUUGAUCUGCGACAGAAAGGUGACCCCGAGUGCUGCUGAGCUGGGAACGGAGAUGGGGACAGCCAUCGCCGCCUGAGCUGAGCAUUCGCUUGGAGAGUAACAGAGCGUUCCCAACCACAUCCCGGAAUAGAUUCACUUUCUCAUCCCCUGGCUCAGGCUGUCACAAUAAAGGGUAGAAAAGAGCAUUCUUCUUGGCUAUACCUGGGAUUUCACCUGCAUGGCUGCAACUCCCAUGCUGUCUAGGAAUAUAGAUGACCUCCACUACUCCCAACUGGAGCAGAUAUAUCAGAGCAGUUCAGCAAUGAUGUGGCAAGUGUGAAGUGGAAGGCAUUGAAAAAGUAUUAUAUCGAUUUUUAGUUUGUAUUUAAGAGGGUUUCUACACACUUGUGUUCUAUAAGCCCAGAAAGAGUAUGCUUCUGACUGCAAACACAGGAACCAGUCAUUAUUUCAAUUUAUUGCUGUGGUCAUAGGAUUAAGCCUUUGAUUAGAGAAGAACAAAUUAUACAGAGUAAUUUGACCCCUGGUAUGUUAGUGUGGUGACUGCAAUUGGGGUGGCCCAACGCAGUCCACUGAUUCUACUGCUAGGUGAUAUAUUUAGCUUUUGUGUUGAUUAAAAACUGAUUUAAUUCUAAACUGGUCGCUGCUGCACUUCACACUUUAUAACUUAAAGGUUUUAUUUACACUGCACAAAGAAAAGGCUACAGUAAAAGAUUAUUGCUGGGGCUUCAGAAUCAAGUACUUAAAAAUUACAAAAGGCAACAUUAAUUUUAGCAUUUUGACAUUCUUAAAUAAUAUCCAUGGAGUGCUUGAUGCUAGCUGAGUAUUCAGGACUUUUGCUGGGCUAUUGAUGGUCCGUGAGUGCAAAAUAGCAGCAAACAGCUUCCAAACAAUCAUGUUUAAAGCUGAGCAUGAAUGCAUGUUUCUGCCACGCACCCAGUUCUGUUUCCAGGGAACAAGAUGGGAAGAAAAUGUUGCUGAAAACACUAAUACAUAACACUUUGGCAGAGAUGGUUAUCACAUCUCCUAGUCAUUUUUACCUAUGUUGCUGCCCUGACAACUGUGGUAUAUUAUGGAAAUAAAAUGUGAAGUCACUCAGGUCUGAGUUCUGCUCUUUGUGGAGUAGACAAAUACAUUCGGUACCUUUUGAUUGAGGUAAGAGAAAGUGCACGCUUCUGCAGUGAAGGACAAAUACCAGCCCCGGGGUACUGAAAACACAGCAAAUAUUUGUUAAAAAGGUGAGUUAGGGGCAAAACAAAGUGGCAUAUAGCAUGCAAUGAAAGGUUGUCGCGGGAGAAAUCCAAUUCAAUCCAGCAAUUAUUGGCUAGAUGCAAUCAAGAUUUAGGAAUGGGGCUCUAAUCCUUUUAUAAACCAGGAACCUGCUUGAAUUGGGUAAUGGGAGUUCUGACAGUCACACUCGAUAAGCAAAAAUCAACUAACCCUCGUGCUUCGUGGCACGCACUAAACUCUUAAUGACAGUCAGGAAAAAACAUAACCCAUCACUGGAUUUUUGGUAAUUUCCCACCAAAGGUUUCCUCCAGGCUGCAGCUUUCGGAGGCUUUGCAUGAUUUGUACCUGAGAGAACUGCUCAGAUUUUGUGUUUUGAUAGAUUUAGACAGCCGAGUUAUUUACUGAAGGAUACCUCUGAAAGGGAAUUUGGUGUAGACUGAGUUGGCUGCUGUGCUACUAUGUGUGACCCCAUCUUGUCACUGUACGCCUGAAACUGUCCCACAUAUUGUCUGUCAAUUUGGUAAAUUAUUUCCUAGAACACUUAGAAAACAAAACAAGGAGCUGAAAAUGCCUCUCAGUAUUUCUUCAGUCCAAACAAACAACAAGCAGGUUGUGUGUUCUACGUGUCUAGCCAAAACAUCUCAGUUAUUAAUUUUAAACUCCUGGGUGCCUGGAGAACCCGAUCCUGAAUAAGCUACAAAGCUGAAGCAUGGCUGAAAAUAUAUAAAAAAAAAUAUUCCACCAUCUUCAGCUAAUGUUUCUGCAAGGUAGCAAGAACAACCUCCCCUCUCCCCUGUAAUGACAGGGCAUGCCGCACAGCAGCAGAUGUACCAUUGCACUGGUGUGUGGCAAACAUGCGGUGCUCACCGCCUGUGCUCGCGCUUCCCUCGAGGGCUCAGUGUCUCAAACCCAGACAGCCUGGUCCUCUGCAAGGACUGCCAAAGGACGUUACACGCUCCUGCGAAUCCCUGCAGUGGUUUCGGGAGGCAAAGACAAGUGGCCGUAGAGAGAGAAAAGGCUCUGGCCAUAAACCGGGAAAGUGGGGGCUGAGAAGCAAAUUUGUUGUGCUAAGUAAGUGGCUUUUUCCCAUCUGCUCAUUUCUCCUCUUUUACUGUUCUCA
Long non-coding RNA from Haliaeetus leucocephalus (bald eagle), 5533 nucleotides. RefSeq lists it as uncharacterized. Lineage: Eukaryota; Metazoa; Chordata; Aves; Accipitriformes; Accipitridae. The record is from RefSeq and is a predicted model, not a curated record. The transcript is spliced from 6 exons.